This 492-nucleotide ribosomal RNA is filed under the name Pachybrachis idiota. Its description in RNAcentral is "partial 16S ribosomal RNA". It matches the Rfam family "Bacterial large subunit ribosomal RNA", at positions 1849 to 2600 of the family's 2925-position model. The record is from RNAcentral. Lineage: Eukaryota; Metazoa; Arthropoda; Insecta; Coleoptera; Chrysomelidae.
GAGGUCGGGCCUGCCCAAUGAGGAAUUUAAUGGCCGCAGUAUCUUGACUGUGCUAAGGUAGCAUAAUCAUUAGUUUUUUAAUUGAAAACUGGAAUGAAAGGUUUAAUGAGAAAAUGGCUGUCUCCUUGCAAUUUGUAGAAAUUUAUUUUUAAGUUAAAAAGCUUAAAUUUAUUUGAGGGACGAGAAGACCCUAUAGAGUUUAAAUAUUGUUUUAACAGAAUAUUUUUUGUUUAUUAUUUAAUUUUAUUAAGACGAAAUUUUGGUUGGGGUGAUUGAAAAAUUAAAUUAACUUUUUCUUUUUGAUACACUUAAUUUGUGACUGGUUUGAUCCGAUAUAAUUGAUUAAAAGAAAUAAUUACCUUAGGGAUAACAGCGUAAUCUUUUUUUAGAGUUCUUAUCGAGAAAAGGGGUUGCGACCUCGAUGUUGGAUUAAAAUUAACUUUAGGUGCAGAAGCUUAAAAGUUUAGUCUGUUCGACUAAUAAAAUUUUACA